This 208-nucleotide ribosomal RNA is filed under the name uncultured bacterium. RNAcentral's name for it is "partial 16S ribosomal RNA". It matches the Rfam family "Bacterial small subunit ribosomal RNA", at positions 568 to 775 of the family's 1533-position model. The record is from RNAcentral.
CUCGUAGGCGGCCAACUAAGUCGGACGUGAAAUCCCCAGGCUCAACCUGGGAACUGCGUCCGAUACUGGAUGGCUUGAAUCCGGGAGAGGGAUGCAGAAUUCCAGGUGUAGCGGUGAAAUGCGUAGAUAUCUGGAGGAAUACCGGUGGCGAAGGCGGCAUCCUGGACCGGCAUUGACGCUGAGGAGCGAAAGCCAGGGGAGCGAAACG